Molecule: ribosomal RNA, 406 nt
Filed under: uncultured bacterium
Lineage: Bacteria
Description: partial 16S ribosomal RNA
Rfam family: Bacterial small subunit ribosomal RNA
Source: RNAcentral
AUUGAACGCUGGCGGCAGGCCUAACACAUGCAAGUCGAACGAGUGGCGGACGGGUGAGUAAUGUCUGGGAAACUGCCCGAUUUAGGGGGAUAACUACUGGAAACGGUAGCUAAUACCGCAUACCAUCGGAUGUGCCCAGAUGGGAUUAGCUAGAAGGUGGGGUAACGGCUCACCUAGGCGACGAUCCCUAGCUGGUCUGAGAGGAUGACCAGCUAGAAUGUAGAUGAGACACGGUCCAUACUCCUACGGGAGGCAGCAGUGGGGAAUAUUGCACAAUGGGCGCAAGCCUGAUGCAUACAUGCCGCGGGUAUGAAGAAGGACUUCCGGUUGUGAAGUACUUUCAGGGAGGAGACGAUACUCGCAGAAGAAGCACCGGCUAACUCCGUGCCAGCAGCCGCGGUAAUAC